CCUACGGGAGACAGCAGUGAGGAAUAUUGGUCAAUGGUCGGGAGACUGAACCAGCCAAGCCGCGUGAGGGAGGAAGGUACAGCGUAUCGUAAACCUCUUUUGUCAGGGAACAAAGGCGGGGACGUGUCCCCGGCUGAGUGUACCUGAAGAAAAAGCAUCGGCUAACUCCGUGCCAGCAGCCGCGGUAAUACGGAGGAUGCGAGCGUUGUCCGGAUUUAUUGGGUUUAAAGGGUGCGCAGGCGGUCUGUUAAGUCAGCGGUCAAAGCCCGGGGCACAACCCCGGCCCGCCGUUGAAACUGGCAGUCUCGAGUUGGAGAGAAGUAGGCGGAAUGCGCGGUGUAGCGGUGAAAUGCAUAGAUAUCGCGCAGAACUCCGAUUGCGAAGGCAGCAUGCCGGCUCCACACUGACGCUGAGGCACUAAAGCGUGGGUAUCGAACAGGAUUAGAUACCCCUGUAGUC
RNAcentral lists this ribosomal RNA (459 nucleotides) under uncultured bacterium. Its description in RNAcentral is "partial 16S ribosomal RNA". It matches the Rfam family "Bacterial small subunit ribosomal RNA", at positions 338 to 795 of the family's 1533-position model. The record is from RNAcentral.